AUCUCGGACGCGAUAUUCGUGAAUUUAUUUCUAAAGCGGCGCACAAUGAUAAUCUUCCCUUGCGCAAAGGAUUUCGCGUCUCGUAAUCGCGAUUAAGACCCGCAAAUACCUUAAUUUAAAGUCGUCUCAAGAAUAAGCAAUCAUGAACGAACUACUCACCUGAACCAUUGAUGUGUGUUGGCACGCGAGACAGACCUCCCCGCUUGGCGGCAGUCUGAUGGUGAAAUCAGUCCGUGCCAACCCCUGUCGUUGGCCUUGCACCCCGUGCAUUCAGCAUCAGGUCGCGCACAACACAACUGCACGCACGCACGCACGGUCAAUCUUAAUCUGGACGUGAUAAAUCUAUUCGGGAUGCAUCGCUAAUUCACGCGCAACGGCUUCUAUACAGGCAGCUCGUGGCGCCGCGACUACUAGUCGUCACCCACCUUGCGGAUCGUCGAGAAUUUCACUAUCGAUUUGCCCCUCGAUAGAUUUCUACGUUUACUAGGAGAAUCAAAAGUGGAUACAAUUUAUGUAUUUCGAACAUAAUUUGUUCACAGUUUCACUUAGAUUACUUUGGAAAAUAUACUUUUGUAAAAAUUAUCUCGUUUUUAAAUAAGGGUCAAAAAUGAUGCUGAGGUUAGUGAGUUAAGAUAGGAAUAGUUAGAAAUGAAUAUCGAAUAAGUUGUAUCGAUAGUAUUUGACAGACUAAAUAUAAAACAUUAUUUUUUUUUAUUAAUACAAAGAAUUUAUUUAAAAUUUUUCUAUUCACAAAUUAUAUUAUUAUUAUUUGAUCAAUUCACAAACUGUAGUUGUCAUUUUAUCGUUUGUAAUUUCUAUUUCAAAAUUAUAUAUAAAUCUAUAUAAUUAUUACAUACGUACGUAUAUAUUAAUAUAUUCACGGAAUACUUUCAAUUCUAGAGAUAACAAAUAUACAUAAUUGAUGUACAAAAAUAUCAAUUUAUUAAGUCGUAAGCAAUUAUAUUAGAUGAAACAAGAUUAUCGUUCUAUCUUCAUCUCGUUCUAAUGCGAAAUUAAAUUGUUAAUUUUAAUAAAUCAAUCUCAAUUAGCAUUUAUGCCAAUUUUUAUAUUUGUUUUGAUCUUUAUAUAUCUUAAUACUUUGCAUAUACAAUAUACAAUACACACUCACAAAAUUAGUUUCUCUUUUUCUCUCUUUCGAAAGAUUAUAUAUAUGCAUAUAUCAUAUCGUGAUGUAUCAUAUCGAUAUUAUGAAUAUGAUAUUAGAGAUUUAAUUUCGAUAUAGAUAUACUUUUGUCAUUAUAAAUGAAAUAAAAGAUUCAUUUAUCGCAUAUUUUUUAUUAAAUUUCGCUUUCUUAUAUUUUUAUUAAAUUUAUGUUAUAAUCGUGCCACAAUUAUGCCACGAUUCAUAUCACGAAAUGAAUUCGAUUUCAAUUUAAUUAAUGCAGAUAAAAUUCAAUUUCACUACUUUAAUACUUUCACGCACGAAUUUCGUACGUUUUAAAGGGAAUCCUUCCGAUAUCCUUUAAAUAAAUGUCGGUUCGCAUUCAAUUUAACUUCCGUUCAACGUUUAAAACCUUAGGAAAGCCUGGACAGGUGUUAUCGUAUUUGCAUUUCUCCUAUCCCUAAGAAAACACGUUAAAACUCGAACUUGAUAAUAACAGUCUGCCUCGCGGAAAUUAAAUAGCCGCGUCAGAAUCAAACUUUCCAGACUGUUGCUGCCAGACGUUGCAUGUUCAGGUUUGUCAAAAAUUUCACGAAUUUCUCGACAGAAACAAUUAACAAACAAUUCAAUCUUAAAUUAUUAAAAAAUUGUAAAAAAAAAAUGAACCAAAAGUUUUCGUAAGUUUUUUCUUUUUUUUAACUUUUCACAAAGUUAACUUCAUACAAAUCCGAGAUUAUAUAUUCAUGAGACCGUCCCAAUAAAUAAAUGUAUUAAACAAGAGUGGUAGUUCUUUGAUCUCUAUAAUCGCUAAAUUCUUUUCAUCCGGAUAAUUCAGUGGAUGAUUGCGGAUAAAAAUGGUCUGCUUGGUUUGCCCAGUGAAGUCUUAAUAUGGCUUAGAAUUUCUGGCACUGCCAUGUACUCGAGACGUCAAAAACCGUUGAAUAAUUUCUGAAUUCGCCUACCGGUUCGUGCAUUCCCUGGUGUAUCAUAUGGUCUAGUUGCUGGUAUGAAUGGAAAAGUAUACAUAGUUAUGCGUGACUGAAUGUAUAAGUGUCGCCUUAGUGGCUGGAAUCCACUAUGACCCU
This is a long non-coding RNA of Apis cerana (Asiatic honeybee), 2208 nucleotides long. RefSeq lists it as uncharacterized. NCBI's taxonomy places the organism in Eukaryota, Metazoa, Arthropoda, Insecta, Hymenoptera, Apidae. The record is from RefSeq and is a predicted model, not a curated record.